This 75-nucleotide transfer RNA is filed under the name Alsobacter sp. RNAcentral's name for it is "tRNA-Thr". It matches the Rfam family "tRNA". From Rfam's summary of the family: Transfer RNA (tRNA) molecules are approximately 80 nucleotides in length. Lineage: Bacteria; Pseudomonadati; Pseudomonadota; Alphaproteobacteria; Hyphomicrobiales; Alsobacteraceae. The record is from RNAcentral. RNAcentral also lists the same sequence under 8 other names.
GCUGCCGUAGCUCAGUGGUAGAGCACUCCCUUGGUAAGGGAGAGGUCGGGAGUUCAAUCCUCCCUGGCAGCACCA